This is a long non-coding RNA of Homo sapiens (human), 561 nucleotides long. The record is from Ensembl. Lineage: Eukaryota; Metazoa; Chordata; Mammalia; Primates; Hominidae.
UAUUAUAUGAAAAUCUAUGGACUGGGCACAGUGGCUCAUGCCUGUAAUUCCAACACUUCGGGAGACCAAGGCAGACAGAUCACUUGAGGUCAGGAGUUGGAGACCAGCCUGGCCAACAUGGCAAAACCCCAUCUCUACUAAAAAUACAAAAAUUAGCUGGGUGUGGUGGUGGUGCGUGCCUGUAAUCCCAGCUACUCAGGAGACUGAGGCAAGAGAAUCGCUUGGACCCGGGAGGUGGAGGUUGCACUGAGCCAAGAUCAUGCCACUGCAUUCCAGCCUGGGCAACAGAGCAAGACUCUGUCUCAAAAGAAAACGUGAAAGUUUAGUACUAGGACUAUUAAAUUGAAUAAGUGGUUAAUAAUCUUCCCAUUACAAAAAUACAUAGUCAGAUGAUUUGGCAGGCUUGUCUACCAAACUUUCAAGCAACAAAUCAUCUGUUUAUACAAAUUCUUCUGGGCAUUGAAGAAAGAGGGACUACUUCAGCUCAUCUUGAGAGGGUAACGUAACCCUGCUAAAUCCAGAGACGCACAUUACCAAAACAAAAUCACGGGUCUACUACAU